GAGGAAUAUUGGUCAAUGGACGAGAGUCUGAACCAGCCAAGUAGCGUGAAGGAUGACUGCCCUAUGGGUUGUAAACUUCUUUUAUACGGGAAUAAAGUGAGGCACGUGUGCCUUUUUGUAUGUACCGUAUGAAUAAGGAUCGGCUAACUCCGUGCCAGCAGCCGCGGUAAUACGGAGGAUCCGAGCGUUAUCCGGAUUUAUUGGGUUUAAAGGGAGCGUAGGCGGACGCUUAAGUCAGUUGUGAAAGUUUGCGGCUCAACCGUAAAAUUGCAGUUGAUACUGGGUGUCUUGAGUACAGUAGAGGCAGGCGGAAUUCGUGGUGUAGCGGUGAAAUGCUUAGAUAUCACGAAGAACUCCGAUUGCGAAGGCAGCUUGCUGGACUGUAACUGACGCUGAUGCUCGAAAGUGUGGGUAUCAAACAGGAUUAGAUACCCUGGUAGUCCACACAGUAAACGAUGAAUACUCGCUGUUUGCGAUAUACAGUAAGCGGCCAAGCGAAAGCGUUAAGUAUUCCACCUGGGGAGUACGCCGGCAACGGUGAAACUCAAAGGAAUUGACGGGGGCCCGCACAAGCGGAGGAACAUGUGGUUUAAUUCGAUGAUACGCGAGGAACCUUACCCGGGCUUGAAUUGCAACUGAAUGAUGUGGAGACAUGUCAGCCGCAAGGCAGUUGUGGAGGUGCUGCAUGGUUGUCGUCAGCUCGUGCCGUGAGGUGUCGGCUUAAGUGCCAUAACGAGCGCAACCCUUAUCGAUAGUUACCAUCAGGUUAUGCUGGGGACUCUGUCGAGACUGCCGUCGUAAGAUGUGAGGAAGGUGGGGAUGACGUCAAAUCAGCACGGCCCUUACGUCCGGGGCUACACACGUGUUACAAUGGGGGGUACAGAAGGCAGCUACACGGCGACGUGAUGCUAAUCCCUAAAGCCUCUCUCAGUUCGGAUUGGAGUCUGCAACCCGACUCCAUGAAGCUGGAUUCGCUAGUAAUCGCGCAUCAGCCACGGCGCGGUGAAUACGUUCCCG
Molecule: ribosomal RNA, 1017 nt
Filed under: uncultured organism
Description: bacterial SSU rRNA
Rfam family: Bacterial small subunit ribosomal RNA
Source: RNAcentral